AUAAACAGAAUGCUUUUUUUUUUUUUUUUCAAAAAACUUCAAAUAUCAUUCUUGUGGUUUCACACUUUCUCACUUUGGUAUCCUGUAUUUAAAGUAUAUCAAUUUACUAUCCUGUGAUUUUAUUUUUAUUUUUUUAUUAUCGAUUCCACUAAUUUUUUUCGUUAAAUCAGUGACAAAGUUAAAACUAAAGGGCACUAAAGUGAAUAUUCGAUAAACCUAGGUGAAUUAUCUGAAGUUUUUGUAUAUAAUUUAACAAAAUAUUAACGAAGAAACUGACGAAAAAAUAAAAAUAAAAUCACAGAAUACUAACUUGAUACACUUUAAAUCACAGGAUAUGAAAAAGUGAGAAAGUGCGAAACCACAAGGGUGGUAUCUGAAGUUUA
This 383-nucleotide long non-coding RNA is filed under the name Ananas comosus (pineapple). Its description in RNAcentral is "long non-coding RNA (ACOM_LNC002296)". Lineage: Eukaryota; Viridiplantae; Streptophyta; Magnoliopsida; Poales; Bromeliaceae. The record is from RNAcentral.